CCCAACAGGUAAGAAUUUGAUCUUUAUUCAGCAAGAUUCAAAGAAAAUUUUUAGAUGCAACUCUAAUUAUCUACAAGAAAGAGUUUUUCUUCCCUACACGCUCAAGUCAGCAGAGAACAAAAGAGCAACAACAGGUUCUCUGAGAGAGAUUUGAUUAUACUUAUCUGAGUUCUCAAGGCUUUGAUUAUUAAUAUAGAAGGAUGUCGAACAGCUGGGUUGUUAGCUGUGAGAUUGUUGGAUCCCAAGAUUGUUAGGCCAUUGGACAUGUCAAACUAGGUAAGAUAAUUCAGUCUUUAAUCGCUCCCACG
Molecule: long non-coding RNA, 308 nt
Filed under: Elaeis guineensis (African oil palm)
Lineage: Eukaryota; Viridiplantae; Streptophyta; Magnoliopsida; Arecales; Arecaceae
Description: long non-coding RNA (EGUI_LNC078938)
Source: RNAcentral